Long non-coding RNA from Monodelphis domestica (gray short-tailed opossum), 5657 nucleotides. RefSeq lists it as uncharacterized. The record is from RefSeq and is a predicted model, not a curated record. Lineage: Eukaryota; Metazoa; Chordata; Mammalia; Didelphimorphia; Didelphidae.
UGGUGACUCCUUUUGAUCAGACAUGCUUGCAGAUCACUCCACAAACAGAAAUCUUCAGGCAACUGGAGAGUCCGUCCAUCAUCACAGUAACCGAAAAAGAAAGAAAAAACAAAGUUCCACUCAUCAUUGAUCAAUACUUCCACACGGCUGCCCCUCACUCCCCACCUCUCCACCUGCUGGAUUAAUAGUAUAGUCUCGAGAGUCAUCCAUGUCCAGUGGCAGGACAGAAGUCAGGACAAAGCCUGGGAUGUAGUGGACAGUGCUGGCAUCUUAGAUGGCUGACUAGGGGUCUAGGCAUUUCAUAGCAAUUGCUUCACAGCCCUUGAAAAAAAUUGUUCUCAUCCACACAUUCUUCCAGAGAAGUCUCCACAUGCUUGGGGUGGCCAUUCCCCUUACUCACCGCCAGGUUUGUUGGUUAUUCAAUCUGGUUUAGCCUGUCUGCCAAGAUGAUUUUACUGGGCUGUGGCCACUGUUCAUGCUACAGCUUCUUAGAGCCACAAGUGAGGGUUGGGUUAGAGAUAGACACCAAAGAUGGAUAGACACCUGAAAAGGGCUUGGUAAGCCUUCAUGCCGGAGGCGCUGAUCCUUUCUGAACAUCCCACCCACCCCAACCCACCCCAAAGAAAAAUGGCACCUUUCCCAAAAGCCAAAAGUCAGGUUCUAUUUUUAUCCUACAUAUUUAGUACUUUUUGAAUUCUCAUUGAAUAUGUAGUUUUCAGUUCAGUAGAAUAUUCAGAAAGGAGCUUGGUGGUUGGUUCAGAGUACAGUCGUCAGAAAAUUAAAGGCAAACAGAUUUCCCCUUGAGGAGCUUACUCUUCAAAACAGAGUAAGUGCAACAACAAACAUUAAUUAAGUACUUCUUAUGAACAAGGUAAGCAUAUAGCAGUGAAUUGGGGUCUGCCUUUGGAGUCAGGAAGACCUAAGGUCAAGCCAAAUCUCAGACACAUAUUUACUGUGUGACUUGAAGAACCUUGUCUCUGGGAACCUUGGGCAACUUCUAAAACCAGAAAUUACAGACCAGUCUUGGAUUUCCCUGGGUGAAGGCAGUUUCCACACCAGGAGUUCUCUCUAGCAAUGAAAUCACAGAUUUGGGCCAAUGUACAGGGUGCCAUGCAAAGUAUUGGGGUCACAAAUACAAAAAUAAAGCAAGUCCCAUUCUCAAAGCUCUUACAUCGCAUUGUAAUAUCAAAUAUACUGAACUCUCAAGAUAAAUUCAUAUUACUUUUCCAAGCACUAGUGAAAUAUCUGGUGCUUUCUUGGGAUACACAUAUGAAAGUCUUGCAAGAUGAAGACGCAGCUCAAGCAAAACUAAGAAACCUUCCAUGUCCUUAUGUGGGGAUUUCAGAGCUUGUUUGACAUCAAGUUCAUUGUCCCCAUUUGACAUGGCUAUCAAGUAAACUCAUAAUCAAAGAAAAUGGGAAAGUUGGGCUGGAAAAUGCUUUUAGGCCAUUUUCUCUGGUCCUUUGCCACACUACUGAAGCAAUCCUUUCCAGAUUAGUCAUUUUAAAUGACUGGGAAAGAACUAUAUGCAAUCCAAUUUGGUUCUGGAGGGGCUGCUCCAUUCAUAAUCUCCCUAGUUAACAUAUCCAUAUAUACAUGCACACGUCUAAACUCAUAUCUAGGCAUAUACACAUAUUUAUAUGAAUAUAGGGGCCAUACAUAUAUAUAUCUGUAGCUAAUCCAUAUCAACAUCGACAUCUGUCUCUAUCUACAUUUACACCUAUUUGUCUACAUCUAUGUAUAUUUAUCUAUAUCUAUAUCUAUACUAUCUAUAUUUAUAUGUGCAUCGAUCUCCAUCGACAUAUAGAAAUAUCUCUACAUCCUUCUGUAUAUGUUUAUAUCUAUAGCUAUCUAUUUAUGUCUGUAUCUAUCCAUAUAUGUCUAUAUCUUUAUCAUCUAUAUCAAGGAGGUUCAUAAAAGUCUUAGUAAAACUUUAAGCUCUAACAGCUUACUUACAGCUACUCUGAGACUUUUGGAAAACACUGUAUUCUUUUUUAUAUUUUUAUUGUCAUGCAAAACAUACUUCCAUAUUGGUCAUUGUUGUAAGAAAAAACUCAUACAUCACUGGAACCCCAAAAUAAAACCAAAGAUACACUGAUGUGAAAGAUGACUCUAACACUUCUUCCUCUGGAGGUGGAGAACAUUCCCAGUCAUAAUUCUUUCAGGAUUAUCCCAGAUCAAACACUCUAUAUUCUUAGGGUAGCUGGGUGGUUAGAGUGCAGAGGAAGACUCUUCUUCAUGAGUUCAAAUCUGGUCUCAGAAAAGUACUACCUGUGUGACCCUGGGCUAGUCACUGAAUUCUGUUGACCUCAGUUUCCCCAUCUGUAAAAUGAGCUGGAGAUGGAAAUGGAAAACCACUCUAGUAUCUUUGCCAAGAAAACCCCAAAUGGAGUCAUAAAGAGUUGGACGGGACUAAAAUGAUCGAGGUUGACAAACAAGUCUAUUCUUCAGGGAGGAUGCUCUUAGGGUGUCAGUGGCAUAAUGCCAGAGUUGGAAAAGACCUUGAAGCUCAUCUAGCCCCAUCAGGAGGCACGAGGAGAAAAGUGUCUUGCCUGAGGUCACAUAGGUAGCAAAUGGCUGAUUACAUGCAGUCCAGGAGCUCUGAUUCCAAGCAUUCUUUCUCCAAUGGGUAAACUGCUUGCAGGGAGUAACUGAGCUCCUUCCAUCCUUUUCAUUCACCCUUCAUACUUGCUGUUUUAUUUCAUGGAAGCAAUCUAAGCAGCAAAUUAAGUUUUGUGACUAGACUACAGGUCCAGAAUACAUUGUCAGAGCAGCAAGGCCCUUGUAUCUAAUGAAUGUUCAAAAAGUAUUAAUGUAUUUCUUGACUAGAAAUGAGAGCUGACUUUUGGCUUGGGGGUCCUAAGCAGCUUCAUUUGAGACAGGCCAUUUGAUGGCAGCGGCCAAGAGCAUCAAGUCCUCAGAAUGAAUCCUGUGCUGGAGAUGUAUUCAAUCAGGCCAACAAAUGAACUCGCCUGUGUUUGUUAGAGUCUUGUACUUUAUAAAUUAGGGUGCUGCUGCUCUUCUUUAAUACCAUUUAGCCUGCCAUUAGCCAAUCAUAUUAUGCUGGGGAUAGUCCUUCACUGGUCUCUCGAAUAGAUUUUUCUUUGACUUUAAUCACUCUGGUAAGGAACCAAAACCCAAGAUUCUGAUUACAUGGGACAGAUUUAUAAUUACUUAGCUUGCAUCAGCACAGUUAGUGGAAAGUGACACGUUGCCAGUUCAUAGCCUUAUAAUGAUGAGGCAUUUCGUCUUAAAAAAAAAAAAGGUCUGCUAAUCUCCAAGUAAAUUUGUCCUUUGAUCUCCCUUCCCUUUCUUGCAGAAUGUUAAAAUGAGACCAUCUUGGCCACUGAAUUUGAAAUGCUCUGAAACCUCAUUUCUUGAGACUAAACUCAAGGUGGAAUUUUAAGGGCAUCUUUCUUGUCCUUUUCCACCCAAUUAACCUUGAAACCAUAUUUUUUCAAUUAUUCUUUCAAGAUUUGGACAAUCUGUCUGAGUCGCCAGUAAUUUCCAAUUACUCUUUGCUGCUCUGGUUUAGACAUUGGUUAUUAUACCAACAUUACUGGAUGUGUGGUGACAAGAGAGGUGAAAUCAAAGGUAAGAUGGCUUGAAAGAGGCCAACACUGAUCUGGCCAUGUCCGAACCCUUUUCAGCUCCGGAAAGGUUGUGGAAUAAAAGUGCCCGAGCUGCCCCAUAUCUUCCAUCCAAGAGAUCAAAAAGCAAGAUUAGAAGGAAGGAUUUUAGUGCUUAGAUUAGACGACCUUAAAGAGGAGAUUAGUGAAAUAUUGAAUGUCACUUUGGAGGCUGUUGAGAAUGAAGUCAAAAGACAUAUUUUUAAAUCAGUUUUACAGUUCCAGUGGAAAUGAAUGACAGUGGUUGAAAUCACCCGUGUACUCUGAUCUCUGCAGUCUUGAGGAAUAAGUGAUUGUGUGGCUGGGCAAUGCAGAAGAGUCUGGGAAUGAUAGAGAGUCAGCAGCUAGAUCAGAGAAAAGAAAGUAUUGAAAGCCAAGGUGUGGAGUGACAAAAUUAUGUACUGGAGACUGUUUCUCCUUGAGAUAAUGUAAGCCCCUAAAUAGCAAGAGCCCUAAAAGAGCAAUAAAAUGCCUUGACAGCCUGAUGGAUGGGGGCAUUAAAAUUUUUUUCAACAUAAAGAAUGGGAUCCUGUAAAAGCAUUUCCUAACUAGGAAAGGGAUUAUCACAAUGUAAGCUGAUGGGAAAUGUUUGUGCCAUUUGGUAUCUAGUGCCUGCUGUCCUUCCAAUAUGUAUGUUUGCACUGAAAUAUUGUUGGAUGUAGCAAGUCUUUCUUUAGCGACAGCAACGCUCGUAUUUUGUUUUCAGCCCCUUUUUUCUAAUCUUUCCGCGUGUCUGGAGGAUCCAUUUUAUUUCUGAGGUUUUAUGACAUUCUUCCUCACUAGCAAUAAGUUUGCCAUCCCUCUCCCUUCCCACCUCUGCGGCCUCAGGAGGAGAACUCGGAUUCUGAGGAAGCUGAGAGCGUGUUCUGUGUUACUGUCAGGUAGGUAACUAUCACUGAGAUGUGGCAAAUACUGGGGGAAAAGACUGGUUUAUUGGAAAGCCUAUAGCAGUUACAUUGCUCCCAUCAAUAAUGGUAAUUAUGGUUACAGAGCGCCUCUCCCCCAGGGGUUCAGAGCACUUUAUAGAUGAUGUCUCAUUGAUCCUCCUAACGGUGCAACAGAGAGCUGGGAACAAGCACUAGAAUGAUCACUUUUAGAGAUGAGGAAACUGAAGCCUGGGGCUUUGGGCUGGCAGGUUAGAGGAGAACAGGCAAUGGCAUAGUGACUUAGUCUACAUGGGAAUUUCCUCCUGAGUGAGUAUUCCUGGCAAGGUUGCAUCAAAGGCUCGGCUGGUGUAUGAAGAACAGAAGAAACAUCUAAGGAUGACUGAAGACAUGCAAUGCCAGGUCCAAGGAUCUGCUGAAGAAUCACAGAAGCCAGUUUUGCCCUCUUUGUGUAAUAGAUGACUGGACUUGGUCUCAGGAAUAUCUGGAUUUGAAUUGUGGCUCUGAUGCUUGUUGGUGGCACAACCAUGGAAGAGGAAUUUAUACUCUUUUAGUCUCAGUCUUUUCAUCUGUUAAAUGGGGAUAAUAAGAACUAUAGUAUCCACCCCCAUCCUGGAUUGUUCCAGGACCAGAAUGAGAUAAUAUAUUUAUGUGUUACAUGCAUGUAAUAUGUAGAUAUAUAUAUUCUAUGUGCAUCUAUAAUAUAUUAAAGCUAAAAACUAUGUUGAGACUUUUGGGAAACCUUAUAUGUAUGUUUAUAAACUUAUACCUAUACAUAAUGUCAAUUACUAUUACUAUAUACUGUGAUUAUUCUACUUCUCCCAUAUGUCUAGUUUAUAGUAGAAUUACUUGUGAACUACAUUUUAAUAGGAAGGGAACCUUAUUCAUCUUUGUAUUUACACAAACCCUUUAGUAGUCCCUUCAGUAUAGUAUUUGUUGCCAAACGCUAGGUAUGGUGCUAAGUAUUUACACAUAUUAUCUCAUUUGAUCUUUAUGACAACUCUGGGAGGUAAUAUUAUUAUUCCUGUUUUUUUGGAAUAUAAUAGAAUUUAAUAAAAGUUUGUUGAAUUAAUGAACAGUUACAAGUCUAGUAUUUUUUUUAAACCCUUACCUCCCGUCUUAGAAUCAAUACUGUGUUUUGGUU